This 103-nucleotide non-coding RNA is filed under the name human gut metagenome. Its description in RNAcentral is "SAM riboswitch (S box leader)". It matches the Rfam family "SAM riboswitch aptamer (S box leader)". From Rfam's summary of the family: The SAM riboswitch is found upstream of a number of genes which code for proteins involved in methionine or cysteine biosynthesis in Gram-positive bacteria. The SAM riboswitch acts at the level of transcription termination control. The record is from RNAcentral.
UCUUAUCGAGAGUGGCGGAGGGAACUGCCCUGUGAAACCACGACAACCUGCCCGAAAAGCGGGCAAGGUGUCAAAUCAGCGAUAUUUAUAUCGAAAGAUGAGA